This is a small nuclear RNA of Vicugna pacos (alpaca), 100 nucleotides long. The record is from Ensembl. NCBI's taxonomy places the organism in Eukaryota, Metazoa, Chordata, Mammalia, Artiodactyla, Camelidae.
GUGUACUCAUUCAGCACAUACCAAAAUCGGAACAAUAUAGAGAUUAGCAUGGCCCCUGUGAAACAAUGAUACGCAAAUUCAUGGAGCAUUCUAUACUUUC